This 247-nucleotide ribosomal RNA is filed under the name uncultured bacterium. Its description in RNAcentral is "partial 16S ribosomal RNA". It matches the Rfam family "Bacterial small subunit ribosomal RNA", at positions 15 to 263 of the family's 1533-position model. The record is from RNAcentral.
GAUCAUGGCUCAGAUUGAACGCUAGCGGGAUGCCUUACACAUGCAAGUCGAACGGCAGCACGGACUUCGGUCUGGUGGCGAGUGGCGAACGGGUGAGUAAUGUAUCGGAACGUGCCCAGUAGCGGGGGAUAACUACGCGAAAGCGUAGCUAAUACCGCAUACGCCCUACGGGGGAAAGGCAGGGGAUCGCAAGACCUUGCACUAUUGGAGCGGCCGAUAUCGGAUUAGCUAGUUGGUGGGGUAACGG